GGCCUCGUAGUUCAGUUGGCUAGAGCAUUGACUGUAUAAAGGCCUUUUCCUUGCUGGCUUGGGUUCGAAUCCCCCCGAGGCCA
Molecule: transfer RNA, 83 nt
Filed under: Schistocephalus solidus
Lineage: Eukaryota; Metazoa; Platyhelminthes; Cestoda; Diphyllobothriidea; Diphyllobothriidae
Rfam family: tRNA
About the family: Transfer RNA (tRNA) molecules are approximately 80 nucleotides in length. Their secondary structure includes four short double-helical elements and three loops (D, anti-codon, and T loops).
Source: Rfam by way of RNAcentral